UGAGUAACGCGUGAGUAACCUGCCUUUCAGAGGGGGAUAACGUUCUGAAAAGAACGCUAAUACCGCAUGAGACUACAGAGCUGCAUGGCUCAGUGGUCAAAGGAGCAAUCCGCUGAAAGAUGGACUCGCGUCCGAUUAGAUAGUAGGCGGGGUAACGGCCCACCUAGUCGACGAUCGGUAGCCGGACUGAGAGGUUGAACGGCCACAUUGGAACUGAGACACGGUCCAAACUCCUACGGGAGGCAGCAUG
Molecule: ribosomal RNA, 250 nt
Filed under: uncultured bacterium
Lineage: Bacteria
Description: partial 16S ribosomal RNA
Rfam family: Bacterial small subunit ribosomal RNA
Source: RNAcentral